CAGCAAGCAGAGGGAGAGGGACUCCUUGCUGAACAGGGAGCCCGAUGCUGGGCUCAAUCCCAGGACCCCAGGAUCAUGACCUGAGCUGAAGGCAGAUGCUUAAUCAACUGAGCCAUCUAGGCACCCCUCCAGGAAUGGACUCUGUCAAGUUAUUAUUACCCUGUGAGUGGGUCAUACUUUCUGGUUUCUUUGUAUAUUUUAUAAUAUUUUUUGUUGAGAACCAGAUGUUUUGAGUGUUAUGUGUAGUGAUUCUGGAAUUCUAAUUCUCCCACUCCUCAGAGAUUGCUGAAUCCUACUCGUUGAUGGCUGGAGCCAUUUGUGAUUUUUUCAGUUUUGCAAAGUGUUUAUUCAUUGUGUGGUCCUUGAAGUUUCUGUUUCACUGUGUGGUCAUCCAGCAUCCUGAAGAAGAUUUUGUUAAGUGUCUGUCUCCCAAAAAGGGGAGAAACAAGUAUUAUCUCUUUAAUCCCUCUACCCCACCCCAGAAACUGUUUCAGUAGUUAAAACGAUGGCAGAUAAACCUAUGCUAGCUUCAUAGGGAUCAAAAGUGGCAGUAAACCAUCAGAACACCUGACGCUGAUACUUGGAGGACAAAGUCCUUAUUACAACUUGGCUCCAGCAAGCCGUACCAGGAAUGAAGGCUGUUAUCCACAUGGCUGCAUGCCAUGGGGUAACGGAUGGGCAUGUAGGUGCUGUGCUAGACAUGGAAGUUCACUGAAAUUUACUACCAUCUUCAUCAAGCUCACCCCUGGAAGCUGCAAAGACAGCCAGCGAGAGAGGGAACACAAGCAGGGGGAGUGGGAGAGGAAGAAGCAGGCUCCCAGCGGAGCAGGGAGCCUGAUGCAGGGCUCAAUCCCAGGACCCUAGGAUCACGCCUUGAGCCGAAGGCAGACGCUUGACUGAGCCCCCCAGGCCCCCUGUACCCAGUAUUGUACCCAAUAUAUAAUGUCACCAGCACUGAAUCAUUGGAAAACAUUUACCUUCCAUGUCAGGAUGCGAAGUUGAGUACAGCAGAGUCUGAGCUCCACACAACCUCCCUGUACUGGAUAUUGUAAUUCUUACCUCUGCUUGCUAAUUAAAUAGGCACGACUAUG
This is a long non-coding RNA of Ailuropoda melanoleuca (giant panda), 1091 nucleotides long. RefSeq lists it as uncharacterized. The transcript has 2 exons. The record is from RefSeq and is a predicted model, not a curated record. NCBI's taxonomy places the organism in Eukaryota, Metazoa, Chordata, Mammalia, Carnivora, Ursidae.